GGGUGUUCUAAAGACCUGCUCUCUAGGCUACGCGCGGAGAACGCUUGUUUCUCUUGGGCCCCUGAGCCCGCCUAGGGGAAAGUCCCCGGACCCUGGGCAGAGAGUGCCGCGUGCUUUGCAGCGCGCAACAACCCGUCUCGCGAGCCCACGCUUACUCCGCCAAGAAGCCCUCAGGGCCGAGCGGGUGGGCGCGGGAGGGGCCUCUCGUCACCUCCAUAGUCACGCAGGUAGUGCGCAUGUGCAUCUUUCACAGAGAUCGCCGCACCAACAGAACGGGGCUCAUUCUCAGAACGCC
This is a ribozyme of Podarcis muralis (Common wall lizard), 295 nucleotides long. It matches the Rfam family "RNase MRP". Rfam says of the family: RNase MRP is an enzymatically active ribonucleoprotein with two distinct roles in eukaryotes. In mitochondria it plays a direct role in the initiation of mitochondrial DNA replication. Lineage: Eukaryota; Metazoa; Chordata; Lepidosauria; Squamata; Lacertidae. The record is from Ensembl.